UACAUAGGGUGCGAGCGUUAAUCGGAAUUACUGGGCGUAAAGCGUGCGCAGGCGGUUCGUUGUGUCGGUGGUGAAAGCCCCGGGCUUAACCUGGGAAUGGCCGUCGAAACUGGCGAACUGGAGUGUGGCAGAGGGGGGUGGAAUUCCGCGUGUAGCAGUGAAAUGCGUAGAGAUGCGGAGGAACACCGAUGGCGAAGGCAGCCCCCUGGGCUGACACUGACGCUCAGGCACGAAAGCGUGGGGAGCAAACAGG
RNAcentral lists this ribosomal RNA (253 nucleotides) under uncultured bacterium. Its description in RNAcentral is "partial 16S ribosomal RNA". It matches the Rfam family "Bacterial small subunit ribosomal RNA", at positions 524 to 776 of the family's 1533-position model. The record is from RNAcentral.